AUUCAGCUGACGAGUUUCAAAUAGAACGAAAUGAGAGUCCUGGAU
This 45-nucleotide non-coding RNA is filed under the name Schistosoma mattheei. Lineage: Eukaryota; Metazoa; Platyhelminthes; Trematoda; Strigeidida; Schistosomatidae. The record is from RNAcentral.